ACCUGUCACGGGCGCUCUGCGCGGCGCCCGGGGCACAAGACAAACACCGUGCCACGGGAACAUUCGGGCACUUUUGGGCGUU
RNAcentral lists this small RNA (82 nucleotides) under Streptomyces sp. ERV7. Its description in RNAcentral is "nrdJ RNA". It matches the Rfam family "nrdJ RNA". Lineage: Bacteria; Bacillati; Actinomycetota; Actinomycetes; Kitasatosporales; Streptomycetaceae. The record is from Rfam by way of RNAcentral.